CAGUAGCCGCGGGAACACGUAGGGUGCGAGCGUUAAUCGGAAUUACUGGGCGUAAAGCGUGCGCAGGCGGUUGUGUAAGACAGGUGUGAAAUCCCCGGGCUUAACCUGGGAACUGCGCUUGUGACUGCACAGCUAGAGUAUGGCAGAGGGGGGUGGAAUUCCACGUGUAGCAGUGAAAUGCGUAGAGAUGUGGAGGAACACCGAUGGCGAAGGCAGCCCCCUGGGCCAAUACUGACGCUCAUGCACGAAAGCGUGGGGAGCAAACAGGAUUAGAGACCCCUGUAGUCCCUGUCUCUUAUAC
This 301-nucleotide ribosomal RNA is filed under the name uncultured bacterium. RNAcentral describes it as "partial 16S ribosomal RNA". It matches the Rfam family "Bacterial small subunit ribosomal RNA", at positions 509 to 807 of the family's 1533-position model. The record is from RNAcentral.